RNAcentral lists this ribosomal RNA (120 nucleotides) under Marinobacter sp. Its description in RNAcentral is "partial 16S ribosomal RNA". It matches the Rfam family "Bacterial small subunit ribosomal RNA", at positions 1 to 113 of the family's 1533-position model. RNAcentral also lists the same sequence under 1 other name. Lineage: Bacteria; Pseudomonadati; Pseudomonadota; Gammaproteobacteria; Pseudomonadales; Marinobacteraceae. The record is from RNAcentral.
UUAAACUGAAGAGUUUGAUCAUGGCUCAGAUUGAACGCUGGCGGCAGGCUUAACACAUGCAAGUCGAGCGGUAACAGGGGGUGCUUGCACCCCGCUGACGAGCGGCGGACGGGUGAGUAA